Molecule: ribosomal RNA, 583 nt
Filed under: Salmonella enterica subsp. enterica serovar Enteritidis
Lineage: Bacteria; Pseudomonadati; Pseudomonadota; Gammaproteobacteria; Enterobacterales; Enterobacteriaceae
Description: partial 23S ribosomal RNA
Rfam family: Bacterial large subunit ribosomal RNA
Source: RNAcentral
CGGGCGUUAAGUUGCAGGGUAUAGACCCGAAACCCGGUGAUCUAGCCAUGGGCAGGUUGAAGGUUGGGUAACACUAACUGGAGGACCGAACCGACUAAUGUUGAAAAAUUAGCGGAUGACCUGUGGCUGGGGGUGAAAGGCCAAUCAAACCGGGAGAUAGCUGGUUCUCCCCGAAAGCUAUUUAGGUAGCGCCUCGUGAAUUCAUCUCCGGGGGUAGAGCACUGUUUCGGCUAGGGGGCCAUCCCGGCUUACCAACCCGAUGCAAACUGCGAAUACCGGAGAAUGUUAUCACGGGAGACACACGGCGGGUGCUAACGUCCGUCGUGAAGAGGGAAACAACCCAGACCGCCAGCUAAGGUCCCAAAGUCAUGGUUAAGUGGGAAACGAUGUGGGAAGGCCCAGACAGCCAGGAUGUUGGCUUAGAAGCAGCCAUCAUUUAAAGAAAGCGUAAUAGCUCACUGGUCGAGUCGGCCUGCGCGGAAGAUGUAACGGGGCUAAACCAUGCACCGAAGCUGCGGCAGCGACACUGUGUGUUGUUGGGUAGGGGAGCGUUCUGUAAGCCUGCGAAGGUGGCCUGUGAGGG